This 481-nucleotide ribosomal RNA is filed under the name uncultured bacterium. RNAcentral's name for it is "bacterial SSU rRNA". It matches the Rfam family "Bacterial small subunit ribosomal RNA", at positions 32 to 507 of the family's 1533-position model. The record is from RNAcentral.
AACGCUAGCGAUAGGCUUAACCAUGCAAGUCGAGGGGCAUCACGAGGUAGCAAUACUUUGGUGGCGACCGGCGUACGGGUGCGUAACACGUAUGCAACCUUCCUGUAAGUGUGGGAUAGCCUCCUGAAAGGGAGAUUAAUACCUCAUGAUAUGUAUUUGCUGCAUGGCAUUUACAUUAAACAUUUAUGGCUUACAGAUGGGCAUGCGUUCCAUUAGGCAGUUGGUGUGGUAACGGCUCACCAAACCUACGAUGGAUAGGGGUUCUGAGAGGAAGGUCCCCCACACUGGAACUGAGACACGGUCCAGACUCCUACGGGAGGCAGCAGUGAGGAAUAUUGGUCAAUGGGCGCGAGCCUGAACCAGCCACGUCGCGUGAAGGAUGACGGCCUUAUGGGUUGUAAACUUCUUUUACAGGGGAAUAAAGUGAGUCACGUGUGAUUUUUUGCAUGUACCCUGUGAAUAAGCAUCGGCUAACUCCGUG